CAGCCGCCGCGGUAAUACGUAGGUGGCAAGCGUUGUCCGGAUUUAUUGGGCGUAAAGCGAGCGCAGGCGGUUAGAUAAGUCUGAAGUUAAAGGCUGUGGCUUAACCAUAGUACGCUUUGGAAACUGUUUAACUUGAGUGCAAGAGGGGAGAGUGGAAUUCCAUGUGUAGCGGUGAAAUGCGUAGAUAUAUGGAGGAACACCGGUGGCGAAAGCGGCUCUCUGGCUUGUAACUGACGCUGAGGCUCGAAAGCGUGGGGAGCAAACAGGAUUAGAUACCCCGGUAGUCCCUGUCUCUUAUACA
This 301-nucleotide ribosomal RNA is filed under the name uncultured bacterium. RNAcentral describes it as "partial 16S ribosomal RNA". It matches the Rfam family "Bacterial small subunit ribosomal RNA", at positions 509 to 808 of the family's 1533-position model. The record is from RNAcentral.